UUAAUUAAAGAUUCAGUAAAAUAUCUCUAUAAUCUGCUGAUAAAAGAAACUCGAUUAUUAAAUACGAUUCACUGACGCGAUUAUUAUUAACUCAAGAGCAGAAAUUACGAACAACAGACGUGUAAAAUGGACUUAUCCUACUCAUAGUAGAGAGCCGGAUGGUAAGAAAGAUUUCUGUUCAUCGACAUUAUAGUUUGGCGUCGCGACGCCAACGUCGAUAAUAACGUUUGCUCCAAAUAUAAUGCAGUUAUGACAAUUUUACUGACAUGUUCUAUAGAUAGUUCUACGCAUUUUGAUAAUUUAAGAUUACUCUCCAUAAGUAAGAACAUAAACUCCUACUAUUUAUAAAACAUCGUUGCGCUGCUCUAUUCACCUUUCAUACUUUAUUUACUUCUUUCCUCCUUUUUUUUUUUAAAGAAAAAGAAUUAUUUUUUUAUAGACCAUCUUUGACAUAAUAAAGGACAACGUAAUCGAAAUGAGGAUCAGAGUUCAAGGAUUUUCCAUGACUGAAGCACACGUUUGCAUGAAUCGAAGAAAAUUUCGCAAUUACAUAACGAGCGGGGGGUAAGCGGGCGUCUAUCCAGCCCUCGAAAUAGCUUGGUUUAUUCUUAACGGACGGAACAUCUUUCGCUCCUCUUACUUAUGCACGAUAGACUCGCGGCGAGACGCGUGCCACGAAAAGAAAAGGAAGAAAGUGGCCACGUUAUCGGCUGACGACGUCACCGUUGCUGUCAUUACACGAUGACAGCAGCCACCGUAAUCUCUGCUCGACGAAAAAACGAAUUGCACGCCUCGAGUGUCUCAGCUGUACAUCGUCGAUCCGAUGGAUCUUCAAAUUGUACUGUAUUCUUGUUUCAAAAUUUAUUAGCAUGCCUUCACAUUGCUUCUUUUCUUUCUAUUUAGAUUUCAUUUUAAUUACAUCUAUAAAAAUAUGAAAUUAUGUAAACAAAUAUCCGCAGUCCAGAUAAAAAUGUUUAUGAGAGCGAACUUUGACUCUCGAUUCGAAUUUUAGAACAUCGAAAGCUUAAUGAUUAACAACAGAAGAAAGUUUUCGUUUCGAAAUUAAUAAAAGAGCGAUGAUCCAACACGCAAACGUAGGUGGUAUACUACGCAUAGUGUAUUAGAGUACUUUAUUAUUUCAAGUAUGCUGCUCGCUUUUUUCUCGUGAUUCGCCCCGUUAUUUCUAGAACUUGACUCAAGACCACCGCGAGAUUUUCAUACGAUAUAGCUGUCGUGUAUGAAUAUCAUUUAAUGACCCGAAAUUAAAAUUAGAUUGCGCGAUAUUACCUUGCCGAACGUGUCCGAUUUCAAAGUGAAACAUCUUAGGUACAUUAGGGUUUCUCGUAGCUUACUUGUACUUGUAACACUCGAACUUGUCCACAAGUUUCUCUUUCUGAUUUGAUUUAUCCUUAUUACCAUCCUCUUGCUUAAGGUGUUGAUAUAGAGAAGAUAUGUUUGAGAAAUAAGCAAUUAUAUGUUCAUUUGAUUCAUUUUAGGACUAAAACACUCGAUGACAAAAGUUUUUCCACUCCGUUUAUUAAUUUUCAUUCUCUGAAUUUAUCCUUUGAUUUUUUAAUUUACUAUACGAAUACGUUCUUCGCAGUAUCUAAUCGUCACAGUGGUAGAAGAUUAUAGUCUUAAAUUAGCAAAUUCUUUUAAUGAGAAGAAAAACAGAAGAGGUUUCUACACACUGAAAUAUACGUAUGCAAGAUUGUUUACAGAAUUUAUAAAUAGUAAAACAAUGCGUAUAACUUAAGUCGAGAUAUACCAUUUUUAUACUGUACGUUCUAAGGACAUAAUUCUUUCAAAAAGAAUUGUUCUAUACCAACAUCGUUCACUAAACGUCUCUUCCAUGUAUCAAAAAAUCAAGUUGAAUCCUCAGAAUUCCACGCACAAGUCAAUUACGUCAAAAGCAAAGAAGAUUCUCUGUCUUCUUGCUAGUUUCUGGAAGAAGAUCAGAAUAGUGCGUGUGAAGCAAAAGUUCUCGACGAUCUAUAGAACUGUUCACGUUGUUUUUGUGCGUGGUCAGUCCACGAGUUCGUCCGGUGCGGCGUCUAAGUAUAGCCGUGGCUGUAUUGGUCUCCCGACUAAUGUUUUUCGGUAACCACCGACUGUGGAUCCCCCUCGAGAAAGAGGAUCGGUGGAAGAGCAGAGACCUGGUCCAGUCUGCGACCAGCCACGGUGUCCUCUUCGAACCAACGACUCGAAACACGAACAACGGUGUUUACCUCCCUUGACCUUCGUUAAGGUGCGUCAGCCCUUCCACCGUCCCUCUACAAUUUUUUUCAACGUGGACCUUGCAACUUCUUGACAAGGUCUUUCCGAUUCCUUGAGAUAUUUUGUGCCUUCGAGAUGAUCUUUGGAAUUGCUUCGUUCUUUCUUGUAAAUGCUUCGAUACUGUGAAGAUCGAUAUAGACAUUUUGUUACGAAAUUCGUUUAAUUUAAUCGAUACAGUGUCAGUGAUACAUGUGACAGAUGAUUUACUUGGAAUUUUCGAUAGUAGGAGACACGUAAGUUACGGAGUUUCGAAUAGAGUAGCAAAGAUUUGCCUAAGCUGAUCGACAGGAAAUAUAUAAUAGUUGCGUGGAAAAUCCAGUCGCAUCCAAAAAUACGCGUCUCUUCAUCCUGGUGUCGAAUUACGGCGUCGAACAAUUCGGUGUUCUACGAUGAGAAACUACAAUUGCCAAUUUUCGAUCGAUCUCUUAUCUUCUUUCUACUCCACGACGAACAAUCUUGAACGAAUAAUAUUUUCAAAUUUGAAAAAAAUAAUAUUUUCAACCCUUUACGCCGGUGUUUAAGGAUCUUGGACGUUUUGAACUUUUUAACGUGUUUAAAAUUAUACAAAAAUCUUAGGACAAUAUUUUUGCGCAACGUGUUAUUUAAAACGACGUAGAAUAAAGUUUGGAAAAAUGUA
Molecule: long non-coding RNA, 2914 nt
Organism: Bombus pyrosoma
Lineage: Eukaryota; Metazoa; Arthropoda; Insecta; Hymenoptera; Apidae
Exons: 3
Source: RefSeq, a predicted model, not a curated record